AACAAACUUACUGUUCUGUUUACAGAAAUAUUAUUUAGCAAUUCAUUUGUUUUACGAUUUAUUUUUUCAGUUGUAUUUUGUUUGAAAAAUUUCACUCCAAGUCGCUUUUAAAAAAAUGCUAACAUAAACGUCAAAUUUUUUUUUGCAAGAUAAUAUUCCAAAGAAAUUCAUAUUCAGUGUGUUAUGUUACCAGAAUACUUUUUAAAAGAAGACGUGAUUACUUUGUCAAUUUCAUGAAAUAAUAAUAAUUUUUUAUCUAAGGCCAAGUCCAGAAGUUGAUAUAUAUAUACAAUACAUAUACAUAUAUGCCUUGUGCGUGAAUAGAUAAAAAUUGCAGAUAUACGGAAACUAUAAUUAUAUAUUAAUGUUAGACGUAAACAUUCGCAAAAUGCACGUCGACCACAGUCACUUGAACCAGGUCAUAUUAUGUCUGUAUACGUGACCAACAGCAUGGCUGGAAAAUCGUAAGCGUGGAAACUUGUAAACAAAUGCCAAGGAUCGAUUGUGGGACGUAAAAUGCAAAUUCUUAUAUAGAAUAAAAAUUAAAUGAUGAUGUCCUCGAAUUCGAUUAUUUCAUUUUUUUUAUGGGCUUUAUCUCGUGCCACGAGUGAAAGGAAAUCAAGAAUCACGUUUCUUUUCAUUCUUUCGAUUAUUAUUAUUAUUAUUAAGUAACAGGAAAGAGACUUAAACCUCAUUAUAAAUUAUAAUCCUCUUUAGUCUAAACUCCCCUCACUCUCUCAAAAAUUGAAAAUAAAUAUUACCAUUUUUGCCUCUACUAUAUAAGAAUUUGCAUAAAAAUAUUUUAUUAAAAUUUCAAAAAAAGAAUACUUUAAAAAAGUUUCAAAUAAAAACUAAUAUUAAAUUGUUAAAAACAAAAAACUACAGUAGUUUUUUUCAAAACUCAUUUUAUAAAUAAUUUUUAAUUAAAGUUGAAUAAUUUUAUCAAAAUAUAAUAACUUUAAAUUUGAAAACACAACACUACAAAAAAGAAACUGUUAAAUUACAUAACGUUUUAUUUAUUAUCUUAUCAAUAUUAAUAAUUUACGUUUUGUUUGAUACUUUAUAAUAAUAUAUUCAUUAUUUAGAUAAAAUAAUUAUUAGAGUUAAAAAUCAUGUAACUGAUAAAAUCCUUUAUAAACCAAUAUCUAAAAACUGAGAUUAUACGAUAAAUAAAUGUUCCCUCUCAGCUAGUUUUUUUUUUUUUUUUACAAUUAACUUAUUUACAUUAGAAGCAAUACGCUCCUAAGUAUGCGUAUUAUAACGCAGUUAUAUAAAUAUUUUUGCAGAAUUUUUUUUUUUAA
Molecule: long non-coding RNA, 1301 nt
Organism: Leptopilina boulardi
Lineage: Eukaryota; Metazoa; Arthropoda; Insecta; Hymenoptera; Figitidae
Exons: 2
Source: RefSeq, a predicted model, not a curated record